RNAcentral lists this ribosomal RNA (434 nucleotides) under uncultured bacterium. RNAcentral describes it as "bacterial SSU rRNA". It matches the Rfam family "Bacterial small subunit ribosomal RNA", at positions 366 to 793 of the family's 1533-position model. The record is from RNAcentral.
GCACAAUGGGCGCAAGCCUGAUGCAGCCAUGCCGCGUGUAUGAAGAAGGCCUUCGGGUUGUAAAGUACUUUCAGCAGUGAGGAAGGUGGAUAUGUUAAUAGCAUAUUCAUUUGACGUUAGCUGCAGAAGAAGCACCGGCUAACUCCGUGCCAGCAGCCGCGGUAAUACGGAGGGUGCGAGCGUUAAUCGGAAUUACUGGGCGUAAAGCGCAUGCAGGUGGUUUGUUAAGUCAGAUGUGAAAGCCCGGGGCUCAACCUCGGAAUUGCAUUUGAAACUGGCAAACUAGAGUACUGUAGAGGGGGUAGAAUUUCAGGUGUAGCGGUGAAAUGCGUAGAGAUCUGAAGGAAUACCGGUGGCGAAGGCGGCCCCCUGGACAGAUACUGACACUCAGAUGCGAAAGCGUGGGGAGCAAACAGGAUUAGAUACCCUGGUAG